Molecule: ribosomal RNA, 774 nt
Filed under: uncultured bacterium
Lineage: Bacteria
Description: bacterial SSU rRNA
Rfam family: Bacterial small subunit ribosomal RNA
Source: RNAcentral
AGAGUUUGAUCAUGGCUCAGAAUCAACGCUGGCGGCGUGCCUCAGACAUGCAAGUCGAACGAUUAAGACUCUCUUCGGAGAGUGCAUAAAGUGGCGCACGGGUGAGUAACACGUAAGUAAUCUACCUUCGAGUGGGGAAUAACGUUCGGAAACGAACGCUAAUACCGCAUAAUGCAGCGGCAUCGCAAGAUGACAGUUGUUAAAGAUUUAUCGCUUGAAGAGGAGCUUGCGGCAGAUUAGCUAGUUGGUAAGGUAACGGCUUACCAAGGCGACGAUCUGUAUCCGGUCUAAGAGGACGGUCGGACACACUGACACUGAAUAACGGGUCAGACUCCUACGGGAGGCAGCAGUCGGGAAUUUUGGGCAAUGGGCGAAAGCCUGACCCAGCAACGCCGCGUGAAGGAUGAAGUUUUUCGGAAUGUAAACUUCGUAAGAAUAGGAAGAAUAAAUGACGGUACUAUUUGUAAGGUCCGGCUAACUACGUGCCAGCAGCCGCGGUAAUACGUAGGGACCAAGCGUUGUUCGGAUUUACUGGGCGUAAAGGGCGCGUAGGCGGCAAUUCAAGUCAGCUGUGAAAUCUCCGGGCUUAACUCGGAACGGUCAGCUGAUACUGCUUUGCUAGAGUACAGAAGGGGCAAUCGGAAUUCUUGGUGUAGCGGUGAAAUGCGUAGAUAUCAAGAGGAACACCUGAGGUGAAGACGGGUUGCUGGGCUGAUACUGACGCUGAGGCGCGAAAGCUAGGGUAGCAAACGGGAUUAGAUACCCUAGUAGUCC